CCCUUAGAUGUUCUGGGCCGCACACGCGCUAAACUGAAGGAGGCAGCGUGUACUCCUGGAUCGAAAGAUUUGGGUAACCCGCGAAUCUCCUUCGUGCUAGGGAUUGAGGUUUGCAAUUAUCCUUCAUGAACGAGGAAUUCCCAGUAAGUGCAAGUCAUAAGCUUGCGCUGACUACGUCCCUGCCCUUUGUACACACCGCCCGUCGCUACUACCGAUUGAAUGAUUUAGUGAGGACUUCGGACUGGGACCGAUGCGGCUUUCGGGCUGCGUCGGUAUUCUGGAAAGAUGUCCAAACUGUAUCAUUUAGAGGAAGUAAAAGUCGUAACA
This 327-nucleotide ribosomal RNA is filed under the name uncultured eukaryote. RNAcentral describes it as "partial 18S ribosomal RNA". It matches the Rfam family "Eukaryotic small subunit ribosomal RNA", at positions 1470 to 1796 of the family's 1831-position model. The record is from RNAcentral.